Suricata suricatta (meerkat) is the source of this 1101-nucleotide long non-coding RNA. RefSeq lists it as uncharacterized. The transcript is spliced from 5 exons. The record is from RefSeq and is a predicted model, not a curated record. NCBI's taxonomy places the organism in Eukaryota, Metazoa, Chordata, Mammalia, Carnivora, Herpestidae.
UCCCCCGCAGGCCGCUGCCCCCACAGCGGCUUCGUUGCGCUCUGGCUGUCUCCUCGGCCCUGUGGGGGAGGGGAAGGGGCUUCCCCAGGGCUGCAGCUCUAGGGUUCCUAGCACAGGACAGGGAGCAGAGGCAGUGGUGACCCGGGCCAUGGGCUCUGCUGGUUGGGACAUGGGUUCUGCAGGGCCCGCAUGGUGUCAAUGCCGAAGCGGGAAGUGACUUUCCCUGGACGGUGAGAAGACUCACCGGAGGUGCAGGCGUCCGCUCCCUGUGGGUACCGGAGGAGUGAUGGCUGGACCACAGCCCUCCUGGAAACAGAGGGGCAGAUCCCAAGGUGCCCCCUGCAUCCCUGUGCCAGUGCACACACAUGCUGCUCCCGUUGCACGUUCAUAGCCAAAUUGAGCGGAAGGUGCAAAGAUUUCCCAGCCAUGCCCGACCCCACACCAGAAGCCUUUAUUCCGAGAGAGGAGCCCCUGCGGACCCCUCAUCGUUUCCAUCAGGGCUCAGUCUUGCUGCUGCGUAUUCUACGUGACAAAGGCAAAGACAGUCUGCUACUCUUGCCUUACGCCUGUCCCACCAGGGAGUGUGGAGGGCACUAUGGAGAGGCAUUUAGCCCAGGGUGGACCGUGCAGAGUGUCUUCCCUGCCAGACGGAGGGGAUCCACAUAAUGAGCCAAUGAUAUUUAGAUGAGACUUGGGACAGAGACGAUGGGUGUGUCCCAGUCCUGAUUCCAGGAACCUGUAAAUUUGACCUUACUUGGAAAAAAGUGUCUCGGCAGAUGCAGUUACGUUAAAAACCUUGAGAUCUCGAGGGGUCAUCUGCUGGGCACUGGAGCCACUGACAAGCGUUGAAACAGACACACUGGUCAAGGCGGUGAUGCCAAGAUGCGGGGAGGCGGAGAGAUGCGGCUGCAGGUCGCCAGCGGGGCACAAGUCACCAGGGCACAGCUGUGCAUCUUAGCACCACGGCCUCAGAACCAGAGCCUCACGUCACCGCACACUGCGGCCUGGGGUCCCCCAGCAAGAGCCACGGGACGUCGGGAGACUGUGUUCCUUGCCUGUCCUUGUUAGCCAUAAAAAUAAACAGGCAUUUUAUCAGCAAAA